Molecule: small RNA, 124 nt
Filed under: Marmota monax (woodchuck)
Lineage: Eukaryota; Metazoa; Chordata; Mammalia; Rodentia; Sciuridae
Source: RNAcentral
GCUGGGCGCAGUGGCGCACGCCUGUAAUCCUGUGGCUAGGGAGGCUGAGACAUGAGGAUCACGAGUUCAAAGCCAGCCUCAGCAAAAGUGAGGUGCUAAGUAACCCAAUGAGACCCUGUCUUUA